AUGAGCAAGGAGGAUGGAGGGCAGCACCACCUGCCCUGGAUCAUCGCGAGUGUUAACAAGGUGACAGGCCUCCAGCAGCUUCCCCAUGAGGGCUGCUCCUGCACUCCUGACCUGCCCCACCCGUCGAUGCUGCAUCCUUCUGCAGCCAGAGGGGGCCUUCGGGCAGAGAGUGGCAGAGGCUGCAAGAAGAAGCCACUGACAUGAUGGCCAUGGCGCACAGCAGGACAACACUCAUGUGGACAGUGUGUUCUGCAGAAACCAAGACCUAAAGGGACUGAAGUGACCUCCUGGAUCCCACUGUGAGUUAGGCUGGACCGAGGGUGCUUUCUGCCACACAUCCCUCCCUCCACCACCUCCCUGUGGUCAGGUCUGUGACUCAUCCUUGCCCCUCCUCCUUCACAUGGUUUAAUAAGAAAACUUUGGUGGCAGAUACAGCAGUACCUUGAAAAACAUCGAUUGGUUUAAAUCUAUGAAACUUUGGAGCCCGUCUCUGAAAAAGCCCCUCUCAGAAAAAGACCUUCUCUCCGUCUUUGCAUCCCCGUCUCUGCACGUGGUAGGUCCUUUGUACACAAAGGAUGAGCUGAAGUUUGGGUCAUUUGUGUAGAACGGGGUGAUGCUUAUGUCUUUAUGACUCUCAGUUACCAGUUUGAAAAAUAGUCAUGGGAUGCCAGCAUGCUAACAUCCUAGGCUCAUCGUAUUAGAUGUUCAGCAGGAUGCAUGGCACCUAGGGGCUCAACUGCAGUCUGGACUGCUGAAGAACAGAUAGAAAAUCACAUAAGCUGUUACCCCAAAGGAAGGGGUGGUCACUGUGCGAGCCGGCAAGAAACAUCACGAGUAGGACCAUCAUGAGCCCAAGGAUCACGUUUCAUGUCCCCCCCCAACCCCUGCAGGACACCAUCGCCUCCCCAAACCCGCCCAACUGCAAGUCUGAGGUUAGGGGUCAGGGUGCCCCCUCCCAGCUGCACAUUCUCGCAUCCCUGAAGCUCUGAGUCAGGUUUCCCGCCUCCUGCGAUUUCACAGCUCCCCGCCGGCCAAGCUGUUUUGCAGACCCAAGUUGGUAAUGACAGAUUCUUCUCUCCUGGCCCUCCACUGGUGAAACCACGGAAAGUAUUUGAAACACGCAGCCCCGGGAAUGUGCAAGCUUCCAUUCGCUGGGCUUGGCAAGGACCAACAGUUUCUCAGCCAGCACUUUUGACUAAGACUU
This 1204-nucleotide long non-coding RNA is filed under the name Bos indicus x Bos taurus (hybrid cattle). RNAcentral describes it as "lncRNA (ENSBIXG00000004798.1)". The record is from RNAcentral. Lineage: Eukaryota; Metazoa; Chordata; Mammalia; Artiodactyla; Bovidae.